Molecule: ribosomal RNA, 464 nt
Filed under: uncultured bacterium
Lineage: Bacteria
Description: partial 16S ribosomal RNA
Rfam family: Bacterial small subunit ribosomal RNA
Source: RNAcentral
GACGAACGCUGGCGGCGUGCUUAACACAUGCAAGUCGAACGAUGAACCGGUUUCGGCCGGGGAUUAGUGGCGAACGGGUGCGUAACACGUGGGCAAUCAGCCCUGCACUCUGGGAUAAGCCCGGGAAACUGGGUCUAAUACCGGAUACGACACACCGAGGCAUCCUGGGGGGUGGAAAGUUCCGGCGGUGCAGGAUGAGCCCGCGGCCUAUCAGCUUGUUGGUGGGGUAAUGGGCUACCAAGGCGACGACGGGUAGCCGGCCUGAGAGGGUGACCGGCCACACUGGGACUGAGACACGGCCCAGACUCCUACGGGAGGCAGCAGUGGGGAAUAUUGCACAAUGGGCGCAAGCCUGAUGCAGCGACGCCGCGUGAGGGAUGACGGCCUUCGGGUUGUAAACCUCUUUCAGCAGGGAAGAAGCGAAAGUGACGGUACCUGCAGAAGAAGCACCGGCUAACUACGUG